Poeciliopsis prolifica (blackstripe livebearer) is the source of this 999-nucleotide long non-coding RNA. RefSeq lists it as uncharacterized. The transcript has 3 exons. The record is from RefSeq and is a predicted model, not a curated record. Lineage: Eukaryota; Metazoa; Chordata; Actinopteri; Cyprinodontiformes; Poeciliidae.
CAUCUGCCAGGCAGAAAAACCAAAUCAAAAAUCAAUAAUCCAUAGAAUGCCAUUACAAGCAGUAAAUGAAUCUCAUUUGAAGACAAGAGUGUUAUCUGUGGGAAAGAAAGCCCAGCAGCUGUGUGGAGCAGCAGGGUAUCAGGCCCUGCCAGGUGGAUGGCAGAAGAGAGAGAGGGCCAAGAGGCACCGUAAAUUACACCUGGCCUCCCAGCACUGCUAUUGUAGGGCAAUUGACCCGCUCCAAAUGAAUUCCAUUUUCUGCAGACGUCAAGGCGAAGGUGUGUUUUAAGUAAGUGACAGCCUGACGCCCAGCUUUAUUUGAUGCUUGCCAGAUCAAAGCCUCACUGCAGGGCACGCUAAUUUGAAGUCCACCGCAGUGAUGAUCGCUGUGCAUGAUUACCCCACAAUGGCACUCCUAUUAAUCACAUCACUCUGAUUAUUCUAAUUUGAUUUGACUCAGCGAUGCCUCUUCUCAAUUUUUUCCUCCGUCUCUUUUUCUCAUCCUCCCUCUCAUCAUCGUCAUCACAACGUCUCCCAAUAAAACUGUCAAGCGGGGCAACUGCUCUCCACAGUAAGUGGAUGACAUUUAAAAGGCUACAACAUGACUGACAGUGUACUCACAGAGGGAGGGAGUGAGAGUGCAGAAGGCGGAAGAAGACGAGGAGAGCUGGAGACAGGGAAGAUGAGGAAAAGAGGGGAUGCCCAAGUUAAUACUUACAAAUGACUAAUGUCUCCCUCAGCAGGUGCCAGGGCCAGACAAACUGGAUAAAUAUUGAGAUCCGUCUGAGUGCAGCAGCACAUGAAAUGAAACCCAACUGCUUCUCAUACAGCUCUAAAAGUGACAUGGCUCUGCUGGGUACCUCAGCUCUGUCUAUCUAGAUAACUCUGCAUGAUUAAUUGCUCUGAAAGUUUAGGAAAUACCCAGACAUUCAAAUACACACAGCUCUGUCCACUGUGUGCUCAUUGUUUGAAUGUACAAUGUCUGUGCUGCCAGUAUUU